Molecule: ribosomal RNA, 434 nt
Filed under: uncultured Lachnospiraceae bacterium
Lineage: Bacteria; Bacillati; Bacillota; Clostridia; Lachnospirales; Lachnospiraceae
Description: bacterial SSU rRNA
Rfam family: Bacterial small subunit ribosomal RNA
Source: RNAcentral
ACGGGAGGCAGCAGUGGGGAAUAUUGCACAAUGGGGGAAACCCUGAUGCAGCGACGCCGCGUGAGUGAAGAAGUAUUUCGGUAUGUAAAGCUCUAUCAGCAGGGAAGAAAAUGACGGUACCUGACUAAGAAGCCCCGGCUAACUACGUGCCAGCAGCCGCGGUAAUACGUAGGGGGCAAGCGUUAUCCGGAUUUACUGGGUGUAAAGGGAGCGUAGGCGGCACGGCAAGCCAGAAGUGAAAACCCAGGGCUUAACUCUGGGAUUGCUUUUGGAACUGUCGAGCUAGAGUGCAGGAGAGGUAAGUGGAAUUCCUAGUGUAGCGGUGAAAUGCGUAGAUAUUAGGAGGAACACCAGUGGCGAAGGCGGCUUACUGGACUGUAAAUGACGCUGAGGCUCGAAAGCGUGGGGAGCAAACAGGAUUAGAUACCCUGGUA